GUCCACGCUGUAAACGAUGAGCACUAGUUUUGGGUUCAUUUAACCGAGCCUGAAACAAAGCUAACGCAUUAAGUGCUCCGCCUGGGGAGUACGGUCGCAAGAUUAAAACUCAAAGGAAUUGACGGGGGCCCCGCACAAGCGGUGGAUUAUGUGGUUUAAUUCGAAGCAACGCGCAAAACCUUACCUAGGCAGAAACUCCCGAGAACCCGUUUGAAAGGAUGGGGUGCCAGCAAUGGAAUUCGGAGAGAGGCGCUGCAUGGCUGUCGU
RNAcentral lists this ribosomal RNA (267 nucleotides) under uncultured bacterium. RNAcentral's name for it is "partial 16S ribosomal RNA". It matches the Rfam family "Bacterial small subunit ribosomal RNA", at positions 793 to 1055 of the family's 1533-position model. The record is from RNAcentral.